This is a non-coding RNA of Ictidomys tridecemlineatus (thirteen-lined ground squirrel), 727 nucleotides long. NCBI's taxonomy places the organism in Eukaryota, Metazoa, Chordata, Mammalia, Rodentia, Sciuridae. The record is from RefSeq and is a predicted model, not a curated record.
AAAAAAAAAGGUGACAAUACUUUUGCUUAAAAUUAAAUGAUUCUGCUGUGUAAAUGGAAACCACUCUCUGUAUGUUAAUUUAACAAUAAGAAGAAUGUGGAAGUCUUUCCAUGUUAAAAUAUGUAAAUAUCAUCACUUUCAAUGACUGACUGUAUUCCAUAUGUACCCUGAUGUUUUUUUUAAGAGCUCAUCACUACAUGAAGGACAUUCAGAUGGAUCCCCUAAUGUGAACAUGUAUUAAAACGUGGCUAAUAAUCCUGACAUUUUUAUCACUCUUAUGAAUACAGGCCAAGGAGGGGGCACGGCUUGUAGGUUGAACCAUGGUGCCGCUCACCCAACAGCCUUCCGAAACCUGAGCUUCAGCUCUGCAUGGAAUCCAGCGCUGGUGGAGGUGGAGGAGAACCCUUGCCUAUGCGCCCACCUGUCUUCAACUCAGGCUGGUCCAAGUGCAGGUUUCCCAAGCCAUCACUGCAGAGGCUCACUGCUGUUUAUCCAUGGACGACUUCCUACACCCGAUUCAAGAGCUGGAAUUGCUGUAGAGUGCCUUCCUACACCAGGUUCAAGAGCUGGGGUUGCUAAAAGAGGGACUUCCAGAGUGGGGACUCAUCCUGAUCCUAUGAGAGCCUCCAUGGUCACCAAGUUCGGCAUCCACUGAGAGAUGGACAGUUAAGAAGGUGGUUGUGAUGUGGACAAGUAGUUUUGUUUUUACACUCAAAGACUCCAUGCC